RNAcentral lists this ribosomal RNA (465 nucleotides) under Vreelandella stevensii. RNAcentral's name for it is "partial 16S ribosomal RNA". It matches the Rfam family "Bacterial small subunit ribosomal RNA", at positions 338 to 795 of the family's 1533-position model. The record is from RNAcentral. Lineage: Bacteria; Pseudomonadati; Pseudomonadota; Gammaproteobacteria; Oceanospirillales; Halomonadaceae.
CCUACGGGUGGCAGCAGUGGGGAAUAUUGGACAAUGGGCGAAAGCCUGAUCCAGCCAUGCCGCGUGUGUGAAGAAGGCCUUCGGGUUGUAAAGCACUUUCAGUGGGGAAGAAAGCCUUGGGGCUAAUACCCUCGAGGAAGGACAUCACCCACAGAAGAAGCACCGGCUAACUCCGUGCCAGCAGCCGCGGUAAUACGGAGGGUGCGAGCGUUAAUCGGAAUUACUGGGCGUAAAGCGCGCGUAGGCGGUCUGAUAAGCCGGUUGUGAAAGCCCCGGGCUCAACCUGGGAACGGCAUCCGGAACUGUCCGGCUAGAGUGCAGGAGAGGAAGGUAGAAUUCCAGGUGUAGCGGUGAAAUGCGUAGAGAUCGGGAGGAAUACCAGUGGCGAAGGCGGCCUUCUGGACUGACACUGACGCUGAGGUGCGAAAGCGUGGGUAGCAAACAGGAUUAGAUACCCGAGUAGUC